UGAUGUGUCUAACUGGAUGGUGAAAUUGUGAUGAAGUGGUUGGUUUGAUGGAACCACAAGCUGUUCUGUCUUGGCAAGGUUGAGUUGAAGGUGAUGGUCCUUCAUCCAGCAAGAAAUGUCUGUUAGACAAGCUGAGAUGCAAGCAGCUAUCAUCAGAUCAUCAGGAUGGAAUGAGAGGUAGAGUUGAGUGUCAUCAGCAUAGCAGUGAUAUGAAAAGCCAUGUUUCUGAAUGACAAAAUGUAGACAGUGAUUCCAUGUAGACAGAGAAUAUAAGUGGUCCAAGAACUGAGCCCUGAGGCACCCCAGCAGCUAGAUGUUACGACUUGGACACCUCACCCCCCCAAGAUACCUUGAAGGACCUGUCUGAGAGGUAAUUGUCAAACCACUGGAGUGCGGUUCCUGAGAUGCCCUUUGCCAAUAGGGUUGACAGGAGGAUCUGGUGGUUGACCAUAUCAAAAGAAGUGGACAGAUCCAGCUAGUUAAGUAAUGGAGAUUUGGAAACCGCUCUUGCCAGUCUUAGGGCUUCAACAACUGAGAGCAAGGCAGUCUCGGUUUAAUGUCCACUUCUGAAACCAGACUGGUUGCUGUCGAGGAGGUUGUUCUGUGUGAGAAAGGCAGAGACUUGGUUGAACACAACUCGUUCAAGAGUUUUUGCUAUGAAAGGAAGAAGGGAAAAUAGUUCUUUAAAAGAGUUGGGUUAAGAGUGGGUUUCUUAAGUAGUGGGGUUAUACGAGCCUGUCUAAAUGCUGAGGGAAAAACACCAGUGUGAAUGAGAUGAAAUAUGAUGAGAUGAAAUAGAAUCAAGUGGACAAGUAGUAGGAUGAUUUAGGAAGGAUGAGUUUAGAGACUUCUGACUCAGAGAGUGGAGAGAAGGAUGUGAAAGAGUGUAUGUUUGUUGGUAAGAUGUGUUUGACAGUUUGAGUAAGAGAUGCUAACUGUUUAGAGCAAGGAAGCGAAGAUGAAAGUAAAACAGAGAGCCUGGAGGGUGAAUGUGAGCCUAGUUUACAUCGAAAGAUGACAUGCGGAGGGGUAUGUGUUGUGUCAGGAACCAUGUUGAGGUUAAGAGUGAGCAGGAAGUGAUCUGAGGUGUGCAGUGGGGUAACCAGCACAUGAUCAGUGGAGCAGUGUCCUGAGAAUUAAUGAGAAAUUAUUGAAUUAAAUUAAAGAUUAUUAAAUAUAUAAUUAUCAUUGUAAUGCAUGGGGUGGGACUGAGAACCAUGAACGUGAGGCUUGGUGGCUCCCACGGCUCUCAGCCCCUCCCCUCAAUUUUUAGUGAAAGUGACGUGACGUGACGUGGCCAAGUAUGGUUACCCAUACUCGGAAUUUGUGUUCUGCAAUUAACCCAUCCAAAUUGCACACACACAGCAGUGAACGAAUGAACACACAGUGCAAAUGACAACUGAGCCACCUAUGAACCUUGAUCAGUCUCAAGAAACUUGGAUGAAGAAGAACAAACAUUUCCCAUCCACCAAUUCCAAAUGAUUUUCUGUUCCACAAAAAAAAAAAAAACAUGUUCCCCCCAAAAAAGGAUCCACAAGUAUGUGACACAGAGCAAGAAAUGUUCAAGUUUUGGUGCAUGUCAGCUUCCUGCAAAGGUACUCAAUGUAGAGGAAGAGGUCGACAUGCUAUGGAAGAAGCCACCUACAGAGUUGAUAAGUCUCCUAGCCAGAAUCUGGAGUACCUGUUACAUCCCAAGGAAUUCCAAACACUGAGGCCACAUGAAUGAUUAUUUGGAGAGGAAUACAUAUCAAAACAAAAAUCUGAAUGCAUAAUUGUACAAUUAUAUUUGUAUUUGUAAAUGCUGUCCUCAAUAUAUUCAAGUAUUUUGAUUCAAAUUGACGUUUGAUUCAAAAUGCUGUAUUAUUUGUAGACUAUUGAGUGCUAUUUAAGAGCUGUACUUAAUAUGAAGGGUGCAAAUCUCUACCAGCAAAACCAUUACACCACAGGUGUCAUUUUAAAUAGCACAAGGGAGCAGAUGGCAUGGCAAAGAUUGCGAAAAGUGAGAGCAGCUCCUUAUGAUUCUUAAUUUUUACAUGUACAGUACACAGACAUGAUUAUGCAUAUUUCUGAUAAACAGGUCAACUUUGAGCAAUAUGAUGGGCUCAUCACUUUCGUAAAUAUCAACAACAUACACUAGAGGUUUGCGUGACUACAUGCUUACACUGAC
Onychostoma macrolepis is the source of this 2167-nucleotide long non-coding RNA. RefSeq lists it as uncharacterized. NCBI's taxonomy places the organism in Eukaryota, Metazoa, Chordata, Actinopteri, Cypriniformes, Cyprinidae. The transcript is spliced from 3 exons. The record is from RefSeq and is a predicted model, not a curated record.